CUGUUAAAACCCAACUAUGAGAAUUCUGGAUAUAAACGUCUAUCUACCUUGACGCUUACCCACGCCCCCCAGACAAUCCAUUUUAGAUUUACUUUUAUUUAGUAUCGCACCAAUAUGAAGGAUGCGCCAAUGGAAAUAACAGAAAGGCGGGGCUUAGGUCUGAAAAUAAGCGAACAAUUAUUAUGCCUGUGUUGGUGGGUGGGACUGUUUAGAUUUUGGCAAUGGGUUAGUGUAGAGUAGAUGUUGAUACUUCAGCUACAGACGCGUGCUUAGUAGGACAUUAACUGUUUGAUACUGACUCGGUAUGUGAACUUCAUCUGCCUUUGCUGUCUGCUCAAAUUCAAGCCUUCGGUUGGAGCCUGACAGUCACACAGCCAAGGUGCUGAGGCAUAAACUGCAGCAUCCCAGUUAAAAUUUGGAGACGUCAUGCUCUCUGGGAAAUAAUCUAAAAAAACAACAAAACUUUCGCCUUUGGACGUUGUAUUGCCGAUGCUCGUGGACUGCAUUUCCAGCAUUUUCCUUCUUCGCUCUGAAUCGAGUGAGGUUCGCAGUUUAGAAGCUGCAAGUGGAGCUAUUGAGCAACAGCUUUCCAACAUUGUAGAGGUCAGAAAGUAAAUGAUGGGCAGUACGGUUAUGGAUAACAAAAAGAAAAAAGACAGUACUAAGAAAAAUGUGGGUCAGAAGAAACGCAUGCUGCGUGUAAACAUACCUAGCUAUUCUUCAUGUUUGCUUCGGAGUAAAGCUACAGUCUCAGAAUUGUAACAUCAUUUCUUAUUAGUACAGUAGAAAAGAAGAAAUGACUAUCAGCAGCGCACAGACAUCAAAGAAUGAACAUCACUACUAAAAAAGAAAGGAUGAAAAACUUGUCUAAAACUAAAAUAAACGAUAUCCAAAGUGAA
This is a long non-coding RNA of Protopterus annectens (West African lungfish), 899 nucleotides long. RefSeq lists it as uncharacterized. The transcript is spliced from 2 exons. Lineage: Eukaryota; Metazoa; Chordata; Ceratodontiformes; Protopteridae. The record is from RefSeq and is a predicted model, not a curated record.